UGGUAUUUCUGUAGUUCUUAUUCUGGGCGUGUCAUUUUCCGAUGGAAAUUAGGGUUUCGAGGGAGUGAUCGGCGGUAAAAAAUCAGGUAAAUGACAGUAAGUUCAGGCAAGAGUAUAAAAAAGUGUCAUUUCUUCCCCAUUUGUGGUAAGCUCCAAUAAGAACAUGUAGGGCUGAUGUAUUUUCAGCCCCACAGAUCAAUGUUUCCAUUGCAAGGUUCAAUAUUGAAAUGUGAUUAUCAGAAGCAGUGGGCCAUCAUUGAAAGAUUACCCUUGUAGUGAGUCUAGGUACAUGUUUUCUUCCCUUCUAUUGGUAUUUUCUUCUACCUUUACAUUUGAAGACUCGCCUGAGUCUUUGUUUGGCUU
This is a long non-coding RNA of Magnolia sinica, 363 nucleotides long. RefSeq lists it as uncharacterized. The transcript is spliced from 4 exons. NCBI's taxonomy places the organism in Eukaryota, Viridiplantae, Streptophyta, Magnoliopsida, Magnoliales, Magnoliaceae. The record is from RefSeq and is a predicted model, not a curated record.